RNAcentral lists this ribosomal RNA (448 nucleotides) under uncultured bacterium. Its description in RNAcentral is "bacterial SSU rRNA". It matches the Rfam family "Bacterial small subunit ribosomal RNA", at positions 329 to 794 of the family's 1533-position model. The record is from RNAcentral.
GACCAGACUCCUACGGGAGGCAGCAGUGGGGAAUAUUGCACAAUGGGGGAAACCCUGAUGCAGCGACGCCGCGUGAGUGAAGAAGUAUUUCGGUAUGUAAAGCUCUAUCAGCAGGGAAGAAAAUGACGGUACCUGACUAAGAAGCCCCGGCUAACUACGUGCCAGCAGCCGCGGUAAUACGUAGGGGGCAAGCGUUAUCCGGAUUUACUGGGUGUAAAGGGAGCGUAGACGGCAUGGCAAGUCAGAUGUGAAAGCCCGGGGCUCAACCCCGGGACUGCAUUUGAAACUGUCAGGCUGGAGUGCAGGAGAGGUAAGUGGAAUUCCUAGUGUAGCGGUGAAAUGCGUAGAUAUUAGGAGGAACACCAGUGGCGAAGGCGGCUUACUGGACUGUAACUGACGUUGAGGCUCGAAAGCGUGGGGAGCAAACAGGAUUAGAUACCCCUGUAUC